UACCAGCACCCCGAGUGGUCGGGACGUUUUAUUGGGCCUAAAGCAUCCGUAGCCGGUUCUGCAAGUCUUCCGUUAAAUCCACCUGCUUAACAGAUGGGCCGCGGAAGAUACUAUAGAGCUAGGAGGCGGGAGAGGCAAGCGGUACUCGAUGGGGUAGGGGUAAAAUCCGUUGAUCCAUUGAAGACCACCAGUGGCGAAGGCGGCUUGCCAGAACGCGCUCGACGGUGAGGGAUGAAAGCUGGGGGGAGCAAACCGG
Molecule: ribosomal RNA, 256 nt
Filed under: uncultured bacterium
Lineage: Bacteria
Description: partial 16S ribosomal RNA
Rfam family: Archaeal small subunit ribosomal RNA
Source: RNAcentral